Long non-coding RNA from Vitis vinifera (wine grape), 175 nucleotides. RefSeq lists it as uncharacterized. The transcript is spliced from 3 exons. Lineage: Eukaryota; Viridiplantae; Streptophyta; Magnoliopsida; Vitales; Vitaceae. The record is from RefSeq and is a predicted model, not a curated record.
AGAAACUUUUAUGCGUUAUCAAGAACCCAGUUACUCAAUACUUACCUGUUAACUCUCGAAAAAUAGGUUUCUCAUAUAGUUCAGAAAAGUCAAUUCCGAUGCGGGACUAUGUGGCUGCUGUUAGCGAUGAUGUGGACCUUGUUUUUGUGGUUGGUGCAAUGGCCCAUGGGAAAAU